RNAcentral lists this ribosomal RNA (468 nucleotides) under uncultured bacterium. Its description in RNAcentral is "bacterial SSU rRNA". It matches the Rfam family "Bacterial small subunit ribosomal RNA", at positions 355 to 825 of the family's 1533-position model. The record is from RNAcentral.
UGAGGAAUAUUGGACAAUGGGCGCAAGCCUGAUCCAGCCAUGCCGCGUGCAGGAUGACGGUCCUAUGGAUUGUAAACUGCUUUUGUACAGGAAGAAACAGUUCUACGUGUAGAACCUUGACGGUACUGUAAGAAUAAGGAUCGGCUAACUCCGUGCCAGCAGCCGCGGUAAUACGGAGGAUCCAAGCGUUAUCCGGAAUCAUUGGGUUUAAAGGGUCCGUAGGCGGUUAGAUAAGUCCAGUGGUGAAAGCCCAUCGCUCAACGGUGGAACGGCCAUUGAUACUGUCUGACUUGAAUUAUUAGGAAGUAACUAGAAUAUGUAGUGUAGCGGUGAAAUGCUUAGAGAUUACAUGGAAUACCAAUUGCGAAGGCAGGUUACUACUAAUGGAUUGACGCUGAUGGACGAAAGCGUGGGUAGCGAACAGGAUUAGAUACCCAUGUAGUCCCUGAGCGGGCUGGCAAGGCGCAU